Molecule: ribosomal RNA, 607 nt
Filed under: uncultured fungus
Lineage: Eukaryota; Fungi
Description: eukaryotic LSU rRNA
Rfam family: 5.8S ribosomal RNA (bases 208-361)
Source: RNAcentral
AAGGAUCAUUAACGCAUCUCCGACGGGGAGCGGUGCGCCCAGCUCCGGCCCAACUGGCCGUGCAGCGGGUGCCCGUCGCCGUCCAAACCUCACAAACCCACUGUGAACCUUCACGGCAGAGGGAGGGGCGACCCUCCCGAUGCCGCACACCAAACUCCAGUUGUAAAGAAUGUCGUGCGGACGUCGAGCCGCCUAAAAACACAAAACAACUUUCAACAACGGAUCUCUUGGCUCUCGCAUCGAUGAAGAACGCAGCGAAAUGCGAUAAGUAAUGUGAAUUGCAGAAUUCAGUGAAUCAUCGAAUCUUUGAACGCACCUUGCGCUCCUUGGUAUUCUGAGGAGCAUGCCUGUUUGAGUGUCAUUAAUAUAUCAACUUCUUCAGCUUUUUUGUUUGUUGAAUGUUGGAUGUGGGGGUUUUUUGCUGGCCUUUUCAAGGGUCAGCUCUCCUCAAAUAUAUUAGCGGAACAAUCUGUCGACCGUUCAUUGGUGUGAUAACUAUCUACGCUAUUGAUCGUGAGGCAAGUUUUUAGCUUCUAAUAGUCCAUUGACUUGGACAACUUUUAUUUAAUGUGACCUCAAAUCAGGUAGGACUACCCGCUGAACUUAA